Molecule: ribosomal RNA, 119 nt
Organism: Macaca mulatta (Rhesus monkey)
Lineage: Eukaryota; Metazoa; Chordata; Mammalia; Primates; Cercopithecidae
Source: Ensembl
AUCUACGGGCAUACCACCCUGAACCCACCCUAUCUCGUCUGAUGUCAGACGCUAAACAGUGUGGGGCCUGGUUAGUACUUGAAUGGGAGACCGCCUGGGAAUACCGGGUGCUGUAGGCU